CUUGUUCAAUCCUUCUAGCAGAAUGGUGUCCAGUGCUUCGCUUGCUCACAGUGCAUUUCUGAGGUUUUCAACUUCCCUUCAUGGGGAAGUAUCAUCAUCCUCAUCAAGCUGUAUGGGAACUUCUCUCAACUUCUCACGCUCUUCUUUCUCUGGAAACCAGUCACCUUCUAAAAGGCAGCUUGCGAUUUUCUCCAAGAGGCUGUCGGGAUUGCAGGAGGCAAUGAGAAUCAAAAGAGAACGUGAACUCGGUGUUACAAAGCCUAGAAGAAGGCCUCCACUAAGGCGUGGAAAAUUAUCACCACGUUUGUCUGUCCCUGAUCACAUUCCAAGGCCUCCUUAUGUAGGUUCGGAUAUACUGCCUGAAAUCUCCAGUGAGUAUCAAAUUCAUGAUUCUGAAGGCAUUGCUUGCAUGAGGGCUGCAUGUGAGCUUGCCGCUCGUGUCCUAAACCAUGCAGGAACUCUCGUUAGGCCUUCUGUGACCACAGAUGAAAUUGAUAAAGCAGUCCAUCAGAUGAUAAUAGAUGCCGGUGCUUAUCCCUCACCUCUUGGCUAUGGUGGAUUUCCAAAAAGUGUGUGUACGUCAGUUAAUGAGUGCAUGUGCCAUGGAAUUCCUGAUUCUCGGCAGCUACAGAAUGGUGACAUUAUUAACAUAGAUGUGACAGUCUACCUGAAUGGAUAUCAUGGAGACACAUCAAAGACAUUUUUUUGUGGGGAAGUCAGUGAAGCAAUGAAAAGCCUUGUUAAGGUAACUGAAGAGUGCCUGGAGAUGGGAAUAGCUGUUUGCAAGGAUGGUGCAAGUUUUAAUCAAAUUGGAAAGAGAAUCAGCGAACAUGCUGAAAAGUAUGGCUUUGGUGUAGUGGAACGUUUUGUUGGGCAUGGUGUGGGAGCAGUGUUUCAUUCGGAGCCAAUAAUCCUACAUCACCGUAAUGACAAUCCUGGUGUCAUGGUAGAAGGUCAAACAUUUACAAUCGAACCCAUUCUUACAAUGGGAAGCACCGAGUGCAUUUCAUGGCCAGACAACUGGACAGCCGUAACAAAAGACGGAAGUCCCGCUGCACAGUUUGAGCAUACCAUUUUGAUAACUCGCACCGGAGCUGAAAUUUUGACAACAUGUUGAUCAGGUGAAAUGCCCCUUGAGAACCUCAAGGUCACUAUCCCUACAGAAUCCCAAUGUUGAGGGCACUCACAGUGGAGAUGUGACAUGGAGAUAGAGAGAUUCAAUGGUGCAAGGACAACUGUAGAGUUUCUGCUACACACCAAGUCAAAGCUAUUAGCAUAAAGCAUUAAAGCUUUCAGUUGGACCUGCCUCAAAAAAAUUGUGGAAUUGUAAAACAAUGCAGGCAUGAACUAUGUAUAGGGAUUGUCUAAUUUCGUAUUUGGAGGUCCUUGGAAGUCUUCUUAAGAUGAGAAUUUUAAAAGAUUUCUGGAUAUAGGCCACAGGAACAGUAGACGAAGCUGAGCAGGAUGUGCUUUUUCCAGUAACGUUAAUCUCAGUUCGUUGACGAAAAUGAAUUUUCGAACCAGUGCACAACUCAAUCAUAAUUAUAGCAUAUUGUUGACGAAUGUUAAUCCCUGGACCCUCUCAAAAGAAAAUGUACAUGGAUGCAUGGAGUAGAUAUAGAUAGGUUUUCUGAAA
This is an RNA transcript of Neltuma alba, 1636 nucleotides long. It is a transcript of the gene named methionine aminopeptidase 1B, chloroplastic, with no coding region annotated. The transcript has 12 exons. The record is from RefSeq and is a predicted model, not a curated record. Lineage: Eukaryota; Viridiplantae; Streptophyta; Magnoliopsida; Fabales; Fabaceae.